CUACGGGUCGCUGCAGUAAGGAAUAUUGCGCAAUGGAGGCAACUCUGACGCAGCCAUGCCGCGUGCAGGACUGAAGGCCUUAUGGGUCGUAAACUGCUUUUAUUUAGGAAUAAACUUUCGUACGUGUACGAGACUGAAGGUACUAAAUGAAUAAGCACCGGCUAACUCCGUGCCAGCAGCCGCGGUAAUACGGAGGGUGCAAGCGUAAUCCGGAUUUAUUGGGUUUAAAGGGUGCGCAGGCGGACUAUUAAGUCAGAGGUGAAAUCCCGGAGCUCAACUUCGGAACUGCCUUUGAUACUGGUAGUCUUGAAUACGGUUGAAGUAGGCGGAAUGUAGCAUGUAGCGGUGAAAUGCAUAGAGAUGCUACAGAACACCGAUCGCGAAGGCAGCUUACUAAGCCGAUAUUGACGCUCAGGCACGAAAGCGUGGGGAGCGAACGGGAUUAGAUACCCGCGUAGUC
Molecule: ribosomal RNA, 460 nt
Filed under: uncultured bacterium
Lineage: Bacteria
Description: partial 16S ribosomal RNA
Rfam family: Bacterial small subunit ribosomal RNA
Source: RNAcentral